ACCCCUAAGGCGAGGCCGAAAGGCGUAGUCGAUGGGAAACGGGUUAAUAUUCCCGUACUUGGUGUUACUGCGAAGGGGGGACGGAGAAGGCUAUGUUGGCCGGGCGACGGUUGUCCCGGUUUAAGCGUGUAGGUGUGUGUUCCAGGUAAAUCCGGUUCACUUUAACACUGAGGCGUGACGACGAGGCACUACGGUGCUGAAGCAACAAAUGCCCUGCUUCCAGGAAAAGCCUCUAAGCAUCAGGUAACAUCAAAUCGUACCCCAAACCGACACAGGUGGUCAGGUAGAGAAUACCAAGGCGCUUGAGAGAACUCGGGUGAAGGAACUAGGCAAAAUGGUGCCGUAACUUCGGGAGAAGGCACGCUGACACGUAGGUGAAGUGAUUUACUCAUGGAGCUGAAGUCAGUCGAAGAUACCAGCUGGCUGCAACUGUUUAUUAAAAACACAGCACUGUGCAAACACGAAAGUGGACGUAUACGGUGUGACGCCUGCCCGGUGCCGGAAGGUUAAUUGAUGGGGUCAGCGCAAGCGAAGCUCCUGAUCGAAGCCCCGGUAAACGGCGGCCGUAACUAUAACGGUCCUAAGGUAGCGAAAUUCCUUGUCGGGUAAGUUCCGACCUGCACGAAUGGCGUAAUGAUGGCCAGGCUGUCUCCACCCGAGACUCAGUGAAAUUGAACUCGCUGUGAAGAUGCAGUGUACCCGCGGCAAGACGGAAAGACCCCGUGAACCUUUACUAUAGCUUGACACUGAACAUUGAGCCUUGAUGUGUAGGAUAGGUGGGAGGCUUUGAAGCGUGGACGCCAGUCUGCAUGGAGCCGACCUUGAAAUACCACCCUUUAAUGUUUGAUGUUCUAACGUGGACCCGUGAUCCGGGUUGCGGACAGUGUCUGGUGGGUAGUUUGACUGGGGCGGUCUCCUCCUAAAGAGUAACGGAGGAGCACGAAGGUUGGCUAAUCCUGGUCGGACAUCAGGAGGUUAGUGCAAUGGCAUAAGCCAGCUUGACUGCGAGCGUGACGGCGCGAGCAGGUGCGAAAGCAGGUCAUAGUGAUCCGGUGGUUCUGAAUGGAAGGGCCAUCGCUCAACGGAUAAAAGGUACUCCGGGGAUAACAGGCUGAUACCGCCCAAGAGUUCAUAUCGACGGCGGUGUUUGGCACCUCGAUGUCGGCUCAUCACAUCCUGGGGCUGAAGUAGGUCCCAAGGGUAUGGCUGUUCGCCAUUUAAAGUGGUACGCGAGCUGGGUUUAGAACGUCGUGAGACAGUUCGGUCCCUAUCUGCCGUGGGCGCUGGAGAACUGAGGGGGGCUGCUCCUAGUACGAGAGGACCGGAGUGGACGCAUCACUGGUGUUCGGGUUGUCAUGCCAAUGGCACUGCCCGGUAGCUAAAUGCGGAAGAGAUAAGUGCUGAAAGCAUCUAAGCACGAAACUUGCCCCGAG
Molecule: ribosomal RNA, 1433 nt
Filed under: Salmonella enterica
Lineage: Bacteria; Pseudomonadati; Pseudomonadota; Gammaproteobacteria; Enterobacterales; Enterobacteriaceae
Also listed under: 1 other name
Description: partial 23S ribosomal RNA
Rfam family: Bacterial large subunit ribosomal RNA
Source: RNAcentral